GACGAACGCUGGCGGCGUGCUUAACACAUGCAAGUCGAGCGGUAAGGCCCUUUCGGGGGUACACGAGCGGCGAACGGGUGAGUAACACGUGGGUGACCUGCCCUCAGCUCUGGGAUAAGCCCGGGAAACUGGGUCUAAUACUGGAUAUGACUCCACGGUGCAUGCCGUGGGGUGGAAAGCCUUGUGCGGCUGAGGAUGGGCCCGCGGCCUAUCAGCUUGUUGGUGGGGCGAUGGCCUACCAAGGCGACGACGGGUAGCCGGCCUGAGAGGGCGACCGGCCACACUGGGACUGAGACACGGCCCAGACUCCCACGGGAGGCAGCAGUGGGGAAUCUUGCGCAAUGGGCGAAAGCCUGACGCAGCGACGCCGCGUGAGGGAUGACGGCCU
This 388-nucleotide ribosomal RNA is filed under the name uncultured bacterium. RNAcentral's name for it is "bacterial SSU rRNA". It matches the Rfam family "Bacterial small subunit ribosomal RNA", at positions 28 to 417 of the family's 1533-position model. The record is from RNAcentral.